CAAUAGCGUAUAUUAAAGUUGUUGCAGUUAAAAAGCUCGUAGUUGGAUUUCGGGGCAGCCUGGCUGGUCCGCCGCAAGGCGAGUACUGGUCAGCCGCCCUUCCUCUCGAAAGCCCCGACUGCUCUUUAUUGCAGUGGUCGGGUAGUUCGGGACGUUUACUUUGAAAAAAUUAGAGUGUUCAAGGCAGGCCUACGCCUGAAUACAUUAGCAUGGAAUAAUGGAAGAGGACCUCGGUCCUAUUUUGUUGGUUUCCAGGACCGAAGUAAUGACUAAGAGGGACAGUUGGGGGCAUUCGUAUUUAAUUGUCAGAGGUGAAAUUCUCGGAUUUAUGAAAGACGAACAACUGCGAAAGCAUUUGCCAAGGAUGUUUUCAUUAA
RNAcentral lists this ribosomal RNA (377 nucleotides) under uncultured eukaryote. RNAcentral describes it as "partial 18S ribosomal RNA". It matches the Rfam family "Eukaryotic small subunit ribosomal RNA", at positions 592 to 976 of the family's 1831-position model. The record is from RNAcentral.